This 253-nucleotide ribosomal RNA is filed under the name uncultured bacterium. Its description in RNAcentral is "partial 16S ribosomal RNA". It matches the Rfam family "Bacterial small subunit ribosomal RNA", at positions 524 to 776 of the family's 1533-position model. The record is from RNAcentral.
UACGUAGGGUGCAAGCGUUGUCCGGAAUUAUUGGGCGUAAAGAGCUCGUAGGCGGUCUGUCACGUCGGCUGUGAAAACCCGAGGCUCAACCUCGGGCCUGCAGUCGAUACGGGCAGACUGGAGUACUGCAGGGGAGACUGGAAUUCCUGGUGUAGCGGUGGAAUGCGCAGAUAUCAGGAGGAACACCGGUGGCGAAGGCGGGUCUCUGGGCAGUAACUGACGCUGAGGAGCGAAAGCGUGGGGAGCGAACAGG